Aquila chrysaetos chrysaetos is the source of this 1945-nucleotide long non-coding RNA. RefSeq lists it as uncharacterized. The record is from RefSeq and is a predicted model, not a curated record. NCBI's taxonomy places the organism in Eukaryota, Metazoa, Chordata, Aves, Accipitriformes, Accipitridae. The transcript has 4 exons.
CUGUUCCCCCACUCUAGGAGAUACCUGCCUCCAGGUUGAAUGGCUGGUUACAAUGUGACUCUACAAACCAGUUAAGUUCCUGGUGAAGAUUUCAGGAUGCUGUUUAAAAUAACAGAGAUGGAGUUUGUCAUGGAGAACUAAUGCAUUUUAUACUAGGACUACUGAAGGACCGGCAUGAGAAGCCACAAAUAUUUUUGUGAAUCCUUUUUUGCCUACCUCAACAGAGUGAAAAAACAAACUAGAGGAAUGCCUGUUGCAAACUACUGAGCUGUCUACAAGGACAUAAUAUUUUGAAUGGGUUGGCCACUGCCUGACUCAGCAGAGGUCAGUUACUUAGCAGAAGAAUUCAUGAUACGCAUCUUGGAGUCUCAAGUCUCCCAGCAUCAAAGCAAUUGGAGAUGAUAAUGCCCAUAUUGCACAUCACAAUAACGUUUUAAUUCCUAUGAACUGCAGAGAUUUCACCUCCUAUGUCUGACUCCCAUCCAGGAUCAAAUGGUCCACUUCACUGAGAAGCAAAAGAGCAAGUGCUUACAGCAUCUCAGAUGAAGCCAACAUCCAGGACUUGACACAAGCUGGAAGUCAUGGAUUUGCAUCAGGUUUAGUAGUACUUAGGGUUGGUUGCUUGCUGUUAAUAAAUGGAGGGCAGCUCUCCAUUCAAAUCAGCUUGGACCUGUCCCUUGCUUUUGCCGUUGCCCGCAGUGACAUAAUGUCCUAUCUGAUGGAGAUUGCAAGACAGAGAGACCGUCACUAAACCAUUCUAUGUUCCUUUGCCUAGCAGGUACAAUUAAAACAAACAAAACUAUGAGUACUUCCAUUUUCAAAGCUCUGUAAGGAUUAUUUUUCUGUUCUGUUCUUAGCAGCAUUUAAUAGAUCUAUAGGAGCUGGUGAGAUAUUCUGAACUUUGACAUCAGCAAUAUGCAGAUGUAAUUUUCUCUGCUUAUCCUUUGCAGUGUAGGAAAACAUUAUUGUUGCCAAGCUAACCCAGGCACUGGCUCAUGUCUGUUAGCAGAUGAAGAACAGCUAGUUGAAACCAAAUCGGAACAAGGCUGAGCUCCUGCUGGUUGGCAAAAGUGCACAAAUAGCACCCCUGGCCAUGUUAAGAAGCAAGAACUGAAGAAAUACUGUUGCUGUUCUGGUGGCAUACUCAGUUUGACUUAGAACAGGCAAUAUUAAGUAUCUGAUGAGAACAACUGUGUCUGAAAUUUCUAGAAUGGCACAGUAAAAUUGAAGUGCUUAAAUAUUUUGUGUAAAGAUCCAAAGUUCUGGAAGCCAUCCAAAGCAAGCUUACCCUUUGGGGUUUGUUCAUCACUAGUACAAUUCAUGCCUUUCUUCUUGAACAGCAGCUUUUACUGCUAUCUAGCAUGGAUGAUGUUUCACAGAAAGGAAAGUAUGAAAAGAAGUGUUCACCUUUUGGUCAACUUACAAACUGCCAGUACCACAUUUUAUCUGGAGAAAGAAAAGUGAAAAAAAAAAAAAAAAAAGUACUAAAUGGGACAUUUUCUACUGUGGAAAUUUAUUGAGGUUUACUUUGUAGAAGUGGAUAUUUUGUAUAAAUACAAGUUACAAACUCCUGAACACCAACACGAAUAUUCUUAAAAGUAAAAGUAGUUGAGUUCAAGUGCCUAGAAUUGGCAGAAUAUAUAGGUCUAAGUGCCAUUUUCUAAUAACUGAAUGGAAAUAAAGCAGUGACACAAGCAUUCUCAUAUUUGAUCGCGGGAAAAAUGCCCUUUGACUUAAAAUGGAGUGACACCAAGUAACAAAAUAUUGCCUUAUACACAUCUAAAUUUCUUUGUGUACAUGACUAAUUCUACUGAUGUGAGGUAAUAAGUUUCAGACAUUCAAAAGUGUAUGUGAGAGGGUAGUCUACCCACUGAUUUCAGACAGGAAGAAGAAUUCUUGAAUAGCACAUGCGGAACUUCAAAAACCAUUGCCAAAUUGUAAAAUC